UGGAACUUUUUCUAAGGGCUUCUCUUGCCUUAUUGCCGUUUUUGGGGUUGUAACUUCUUUUAAUUUUUAAUACUCCCCUUGGCUUCUACAAGCAUUGCCACUUCCAAGAGAUUGCAUCAUUGAAGCUCAUUCAAGCGUUCGAAUUGGAGCAGUAGUCUGUCAAGGCGUUGCAUACGCUGGAGUACAGAAUAAGCCACUCUAACCCAUUUCUUCUAUAUUCACUUCUAAACUAUUUCUCGUCCACCUGUUCCUAAUUAGAUAUUCUUGAUAGGUGAAGGGCGUGAGCACAAAGGAGACUCGGAAGCGAUACGGAUGCGGAAGUUGUACAUGCACGAAGAAUGCCCGACUUGCGGGCAGGAUGCACAACCUCUCGUGGAAAAACUGUAAGGAAGCCGAUCAACUCUUCGGUGUAAGCCCGUGUUUAAUGAGCUUGCAUCCGCGGAGCUGAUUCAAGCAUUCGAAUUGUAGCAGUGAACAGCCAUGGCCUCGCAUACGCUGGAGUCUAGAAUGAGCCACUCUAAUCCAUUUCUUCUGUGUACACUCUUAAACCUUUCCUUCUCCACCCAUUUCUAAUUAGACAUUCUUUGCAGGUGAAUGGCGUGGGCGUGGAAAGAAG
Molecule: non-coding RNA, 616 nt
Organism: Nelumbo nucifera (sacred lotus)
Lineage: Eukaryota; Viridiplantae; Streptophyta; Magnoliopsida; Proteales; Nelumbonaceae
Source: RefSeq, a predicted model, not a curated record